Molecule: non-coding RNA, 29 nt
Filed under: Homo sapiens (human)
Lineage: Eukaryota; Metazoa; Chordata; Mammalia; Primates; Hominidae
Source: RNAcentral
UUCCCAGUGCUGCACAUGGAGGUGAUUGU